UUCAUCAAGAGAGGCGGAGGGAAUAGGCCCUGUGAAGCCCGGCAACCUAAUUUUAAGGUGCCAAGUCCUACAGAUUAAUCUGAAAGAUGA
Molecule: non-coding RNA, 90 nt
Filed under: Ezakiella massiliensis
Lineage: Bacteria; Bacillati; Bacillota; Tissierellia
Description: SAM riboswitch (S box leader)
Rfam family: SAM riboswitch aptamer (S box leader)
About the family: The SAM riboswitch is found upstream of a number of genes which code for proteins involved in methionine or cysteine biosynthesis in Gram-positive bacteria.
Source: RNAcentral